UUGCACGAUAUUCAAAUUUUUCGAGUUUCACCUGUAUAACCCCACUGCAUUAACUACAUACAUUUAGAUUCAGUUUCAUGACUUCUGUUUUCUUGCUGCCCUAUUAGUAUAAAUGGCAGAAGUUAUAUUCUGCCCAUGUACUGAAAGGAAGCCCUGGGGCACAUAUUGUCACAUGCUCCACAUUUAUAAGUGUGGCUUCUGUUUUUGGCAUCUUUUCAUUUUUGCUGUUAUUUUUUAACUUGGUAUGAUUCGAUAUGUCAGAAACGUGCCCAAAUUUAUGAAGCACAUGCAGUAUUUUCAACAUAAAGCAUCAGACCUGUUUUACAUUCCAUUUUUUGUUGAUCAUGUUUCAAAACCCUUGUCACAUUCACAUAUAUCCACGUGCCAGUUUUUCUGUUCCAGAUCCAGUGGCACCCAACAGAACCCAGCCGAUAAGGAGUUUGUGGCCCUGAUGGGGAAAAAAAAAAAAAAAAGGUUCUGCAUGCGGUGCUGUCAUGUCCUAAUGAUGUAAUAUGUGACGGAGUCUCUGACGCAGAUGUGAGAAUAGUGUUAAUUUGGUACACUUCCACAAGUUUUGCAACUCAUUUUCAAAAUGACAUUAGUACAUGUACAGUAAAAUGGUGUAUACAUAAAAAUACCAUAUAUCCUGUCUUAUCCGGCAUGAUUUAAAUCUUAUGUAUGAAUGUAAAUACAAUUCAGGAUUUGGCAGCAGGAUUUCAAUUUGCCCAAUCAUUUUCUCCUCAAAUUAUAUAAUCUACCCCUCUCUCCAUUAACAGAGAUUUCUGCUACCGGAAAUUUGACAGCCUUCUAAGCAAAGAUUUUAUUCAAUGCCAGUCUUGAAAGUGUAUUACAAACUUCAUUUUAUAGUUCUAUUUUCAAUCUGUGAAUUUACAUCAAUUUAACAUUAUUCAGUGACACGGUCUUAAUUUCUCAAUUUGUCUACAACAGUAUUGGUGUUGAGACCAUGUCUGAGGAUGGAGAUCAUCUGAAUGAACCUUAUUUGUAAGAUUUCGAGAAAAUCUGGGUGACUGCUUCACUGAGAAGCCACCAGACAGCUGAUUCUACUUUAUCUUGACUUCUUGAUAAUAUAAAUUUUAUUGGCAUGACACAUAACCCAAUACCAGUAAUGUGGUCAGAUCUUUUAUCCUGCAUCUAAAUAUUCACCAAAUGACAGCAGGAUUCCUCUAAGCCGUAGAAGUGCCCAGUGUUUUGGGACAAUCAAAUGUCCCAUGAUUAAUGUAAAAAAUGAAAAUCGGACAUCAUCAUAGAGUUCAUGACAAUCUCUUUCUAACAAAGCUACAAUCAACCCUGUGCCUGCCAUGGAUCCAGAGCUUCCUUCAUUCAUUACUCCAAUUGGUCUGCUACAUUUAUUUCAAGUUGGCAGCUCAACGGUUGUGUCCUUUCUUCUGCGGCUCUCACAGCUUCUAACAGUAAAUUCGGCUGGUAGCUGUUAAAGAAUGAGCAGAGCUGAGCAUGUGUGACCACCUCGGUGUGCUUCAGCAGGGGGCACAAUAAAGAUACAUUUUAUUAAAUAACUCGGUGGCUAUACUUAAAUAUUAAUUACGUGUUGGUGUUGGUUUCUAAGAUAGAAUAAUUUUCAUGGGACAACCCAUUUCAUUGACAACCCAUGUCUAUGUUUUCUUAUUGGGGCAUAUGUUUUCACCUCAUGAUCCCUACUCUAUGAGCCAGAGUAGAGAGCCAUUGUUAAGCAGUGGUUUUUGAUUUGGGCUGUCCAUGAAUAACCUGGAUGGCCACUUACAUUCCCUCUGCAGUGGAAAUGUUUAGAUGGCAGCUGAGCACCGCGACAGAUCUUAUAUUAAAGAGGUUGUCUGUGGUGAAACAACCCAUUUCAGUGUCAGUGGUGGGAAAUGUCUAAGGCAUUUUUAGAUGUUUUGCAGGGUGAUCAUGACAAACUAGAGGUGGCCCAUUAAGUAUUAUAGGGGAUUUUUGCUAACUCUUUUAUAUAAGGUACACAAUAAGCAGACUACAAAUACCUGUGAAAAUGAAAUUUUAAUGUCAUGUGCCAAAUGAUAAUUAGUUGCCAAGUGUCUAGUUUGCAUGUAAAGGGGUAUUCUGGUUAGAUUGUUAUCCCCUAGCCACAGGAUGGAGGUAACUAUUCAAUUGGUUGGGUUCCUACUGCUGAGACCCCCACCGAUGAUGGGAACAGGGCCCCCGUACGCCCUGCAGGCCCCCCUGAAAUGAACAGAGCGGCCAGUCUUAAAUGCGUGUAUUCGGCUAUCUCUGGAAUUCCCAUCUAAAUUAAACGAGCGGCUGCACGCAUGCUUGACCAGUCGCUCCGUUCAUUUCAAGGUAGCUGCAGGAGGUAUGGGGUUCCCAUUCUAAUUAUUGAUGGGGCCCCCAGCGGUAGGACCCCCAUGAUAAUAGUUAUCCUCUAUCCUGUGGAUAGGGGAUAACCUAAUAUAACAGGUAUGCCCUGGCCUCUUGAUUGUAAACCUUCCCACUUGCUCUUCAGUGGCGGGUCUAGUGGCUCACUCCAUCAUAGGAUGAAUGUAACCCAGGAGACCACUGUGGCUUUCACUCUUGAGCAAAGGAGAGGAUAGCAGGGAGGGUUUACAGCAUACACACUUGAAUGUUAGCUGGCAUCUACUUGGCAUCUAAUUAGCAUAUGGUGGAUUUAGCUGUUUCGGGGUGCCAACAAUGAUGACAGAUUGUCUUUAUAUGAUGACAGAUUGUCUUUAUAUAGAUGUCCCCUUAACCACACACUCGCUGAGUGAUUCGGAUUUACUGUUUAUAGCAAGUCAUUAUUGUUAUAUAUUUGCCGAAUAUUAUCUUUUUAUUGUUUGUAAGGGUACUUUCACACUUGCGUUUUUCUUUUCCGGCAUAGAGUUCCGUCACAGGGG
Bufo bufo (common toad) is the source of this 2861-nucleotide long non-coding RNA. RefSeq lists it as uncharacterized. The transcript has 3 exons. The record is from RefSeq and is a predicted model, not a curated record. NCBI's taxonomy places the organism in Eukaryota, Metazoa, Chordata, Amphibia, Anura, Bufonidae.